RNAcentral lists this ribosomal RNA (406 nucleotides) under uncultured bacterium. Its description in RNAcentral is "partial 16S ribosomal RNA". It matches the Rfam family "Bacterial small subunit ribosomal RNA", at positions 30 to 526 of the family's 1533-position model. The record is from RNAcentral.
AUUGAACGCUGGCGGCAGGUCUAACACAUGCAAGUCGAGCGAGCGGCGGACGGGUGAGUAAUGUCUGGGAAACUGCCUGACGGAGGGGGAUAACGACUGGAAACGGUAGCUAAUACCGCAUACCAUCAGAUAUGCCCAGAUGGGAUUAGCUAGUAGGUGGGGUAACGGCUCACCUAGGCGACGAUCCCUAGCUGUUCUGGGAGGAUUACAAGCCAACCUGGAUCUGUGACACGUUCCCGACUCCUACGGGAGGCAGCAGUGGGGAAUAGUGCACAAUGGGCGCAAGCCUGAUGCAGCCAUGCCGCGUGUGUGAAGAAGGCCUUCGGGUUGUAAAGCACUUUCAGCUGGGAGGCGUUACCCUCAGAUGAAGCACCGGCUAACUCCGUGCCAGCAGCCGCGGUAAUAC